Molecule: long non-coding RNA, 119 nt
Filed under: Mustela putorius furo (domestic ferret)
Lineage: Eukaryota; Metazoa; Chordata; Mammalia; Carnivora; Mustelidae
Description: lncRNA (ENSMPUG00000024125.1)
Source: RNAcentral
UUUAUUUUUUUUUAAAAGUUUAUUUUUUAAAAAGAUUUGAUUUAUCUGUCAGUGCACACAAGCAGGAGGAGUGGCAGGCAGAGGGAGAAGCAGGCUUCCCAUUGAGUGGGGAGCCUAAU